CUGCAUAUGUGCAGAGUUUAGCCUUGUAAAGAGGGAUGAAGAAUUAUCCAGUAGCCCUCCUCUUGCUCAACUUUUGCGGGGAGGGAGUUGAUUCAAAUCUUGAGUUCCCCCAGUGUGCGAAGCCUGAAGUGAAGAUGUUCCUAUUGGUACCUCCCCUACUGCUUAGGGAGGAAAUGUGAAAAGGCCAAGCCUCCAGAAGGGUAUGCAGGAGGUGGAGAGCUAAAAAGCAGGAUGUUCUGUGCAACAUGGCCUUGAAGAGAAGACCAUAGAGAGUUUGCAGCAACAGUGUUUCUUUUGUUAAGGAAAUCCUCUAGCAUUCCCACGCUACAUAAACAUUUGAACUGUAUCAAACCUGAAGCUGGGAGAUAGGCAAGAACUAUACAUAUCUUUACAGACUUGCUUUUGGCAAUGAUUUUUUGAUUAGUUAUCUGCUUUUUCAAAGAAAGGAAUCUAUCUUUAUAUCUGUUCAUCACUUCAGCUUGUUGGAGAAGCAAGAAUGGGAAAAAAAUAUAUCAAUAUUUAUAAUAUGAACUGAUCGUUUGACCUGUCAAAACGAAUCUUUUAAAUUCAAAGCUAGAGCCUAGCCUCACCAGAACCACCAUUAUUAUUCAUCAUUGUAGCUGAGGAAGAAGUGAACUGAAGCAAGCACAACAGCUUUUGUAAUUUUGGUUAGCAACCAGUACCUAAAAGUGGUAGUUACAGAAAAGGAAUGUUGAAGUGUGAAAAGCGUAUUAAAACCCUAGACAAGUUUCUGGAAUAUCUGCACUUGUUUCUUAAUGUCAUAUCCAUAAAGUAGCAAUAUCAUAUUCCUCUUAAAAAUCACCAUCACAACAGAAAGAUUAUUUCAUGGCAAGUACAUUUUUAUCUGAGUAUAUCUUGAACUCUGUUUUA
Long non-coding RNA from Mauremys reevesii (Reeves's turtle), 891 nucleotides. RefSeq lists it as uncharacterized. Lineage: Eukaryota; Metazoa; Chordata; Testudines; Geoemydidae. The record is from RefSeq and is a predicted model, not a curated record. The transcript has 3 exons.